Molecule: transfer RNA, 76 nt
Filed under: Marivirga sericea
Lineage: Bacteria; Pseudomonadati; Bacteroidota; Cytophagia; Cytophagales; Marivirgaceae
Also listed under: 4 other names
Description: tRNA_Phe_GAA
Rfam family: tRNA
About the family: Transfer RNA (tRNA) molecules are approximately 80 nucleotides in length. Their secondary structure includes four short double-helical elements and three loops (D, anti-codon, and T loops). Further hydrogen bonds mediate the characteristic L-shaped molecular structure. tRNAs have two regions of fundamental functional importance: the anti-codon, which is responsible for specific mRNA codon recognition, and the 3' end, to which the tRNAs corresponding amino acid is attached (by aminoacyl-tRNA synthetases). tRNAs cope with the degeneracy of the genetic code in two manners: having more than one tRNA (with a specific anti-codon) for a particular amino acid; and 'wobble' base-pairing, i.e. permitting non-standard base-pairing at the 3rd anti-codon position.
Source: RNAcentral
GGUGCUGUAGCUCAGUUGGUAGAGCAUCGGACUGAAAAUCCGUGAGUCGGUGGUUCGAAUCCACUCAGCACCACAA